UACGUAGGGUGCGAGCGUUGUCCGGAAUUACUGGGCGUAAAGAGCUCGUAGGUGGUUUGUCGCGUUGUUCGUGAAAACUCACAACUCAAUUGUGGGCGUGCGGGCGAUACGGGCAGACUGGAGUACUGCAGGGGAGACUGGAAUUCCUGGUGUAGCGGUGGAAUGCGCAGAUAUCAGGAGGAACACCGGUGGCGAAGGCGGCCCUCUGGACGGUGACUGACGCUGAGACGCGAAAGCGUGGGGAGCAAACAGG
RNAcentral lists this ribosomal RNA (253 nucleotides) under uncultured bacterium. RNAcentral's name for it is "partial 16S ribosomal RNA". It matches the Rfam family "Bacterial small subunit ribosomal RNA", at positions 524 to 776 of the family's 1533-position model. The record is from RNAcentral.